CUGGAUCCCUGAUUGGCUCAUUCGACCAUAUGUCCAGUCAACAGCCAAAGCUUCCCAGCCUGCCUCUCCACCCAUGCCCAGCACCUCUUUGCUGCACUUCUUUUUUAUUUCUUAAAUUUUUUUCAUUAAUUCUAAAAGAUAUAGAAGACCAUCAGGGUUCUGGUGAGAUACACUGUGGACAAUCUGUGGAAGGAUCUGGGCAGGGAUCACUGAUUUAGUCAGAUGAAAUUAACAAGUACUUAUUAAAUGAUUUCUUCAUGCCAGGACCCUUGUGAAAGGAAAUAGGACUGCUUCUGAUUAUGUGGAUAUCUGAAUAACCAUAAGGAUCCCAAGGAAUGAUACGACUUUGAAAUCUUAAAAAAUGGUGGGCACAUUUUUUCAAGAUGAGAUUUCACAGGCUAGGUCCGUAAUGCAUGUCAUAAUCAAAGUACUUUCUUGAAAAAAAUACAGGGGCAGAAAAUAUGAAGGAUCUACUUAGAAUCUUUUUAACAAAUUACACAAUCCUCUCCUAGCACUUGAACUAAUUUUAGGUAUCUUUCAUGUAUAUAAAAUUAUUCUAACAAUUUCACAAAGGUUUUACUCAUAAGAAUUCUUUUGACUUUAGCUUUAAAAACAAACCCACUAUUUUUUAAUUAGAAUGAUAACAAAAUCAGUUUAAAUCAGUGAAUUUCAAAUAUUUUGGCAAUGUUAUAGUAAAAGAAACCAACAACUCAAUAAUUGUUUUCAAGGUCAAUGAAGGAAGUUGACAUUUUUCAAAUCUCAUGAAAAAUCAAAAUAAAUGGACAUAUUCCUGCUUUUUAUCA
Molecule: long non-coding RNA, 803 nt
Filed under: Monodelphis domestica (gray short-tailed opossum)
Lineage: Eukaryota; Metazoa; Chordata; Mammalia; Didelphimorphia; Didelphidae
Description: lncRNA (ENSMODG00000046910.1)
Source: RNAcentral